RNAcentral lists this ribosomal RNA (243 nucleotides) under uncultured bacterium. Its description in RNAcentral is "partial 16S ribosomal RNA". It matches the Rfam family "Bacterial small subunit ribosomal RNA", at positions 524 to 766 of the family's 1533-position model. The record is from RNAcentral.
GACAGAGGGUGCAAGCGUUGUUCGGAAUUAUUGGGCGUAAAGGGCGCGUAGGUGGUUUUGUAAGUCGGGCGUGAAAUCCCAGGGCUUAACUCUGGAAGUGCCUCCGAAACUGCAAGACUGGAGUCCCCGAGAGGGUGGUGGAAUUCCCAGUGUAGAGGUGAAAUUCGUAGAUAUUGGGAGGAACACCUGUGGCGAAGGCGGCCACCUGGCAGGUGACUGACACUGAGGCGCGAAAGCGUGGGU